Long non-coding RNA from Nicotiana tabacum (common tobacco), 885 nucleotides. RefSeq lists it as uncharacterized. The record is from RefSeq and is a predicted model, not a curated record. Lineage: Eukaryota; Viridiplantae; Streptophyta; Magnoliopsida; Solanales; Solanaceae.
CCAAGAUUGGGGGCCUAAAGCAAUGGCUUUAAACCUUAUCCUUCGGCCAGCCCUGGUAACAUCUUGUUCUCCAAUCUAAACAACGGAGAUCGUGCUUCGAGAUUUUUAGCUACAUAUAUUGAGCAACAAACUGUAGCUCGUGUUGGGGGAGCAUUGAAGAAACAAUAAAAUUAUCUCUAUGUGACCUAUAACCAACAUGCUUGAGGUAUGGAAUCAACCACUUAUACAUACCUUAGGGUAGGUUGCAUACAUCACACCAUUUGGUAUGCAACCCUUCUCGGACCAAAUGCAGGAUACUUUGGGUGCGGGAUUGCCUUUAUGAUGGAUGGACCAAUUGUUUGGCUUCAAAGAGUUAAUACGCAUCUUACUUUUUGAGUUAAAAAUCGUUUUGAGCACACAAAAAAGUGACAUUAUGUUGCAUACAAGUUGAAAAAGAAGAUAAAAGAAAGGCAAAGACUAAGUAGAACUAAAUAGGGAUGAACUCAAAAUACUAAAGAGCAAUUGCUAAGUUGCACAAAUUCAGAACAGCGAGCCAUUGCUACGACAACUAAUAUACAACGUACAACUGGACUUUGAAAUUGAGCAUAGCUGAUCUUGAGAGCAACAACUGUCUCCCGCUUCACUUUAUCGUCAGCUCUCAGGACUCAGACUUUGGAGUCGGUCCUAACGACGGCUAGUAGAUUGCUCUGAUCCGAUGCUUGACGGAGACUUGAGGUACAGUUGCACGGCGUUCGCAGCCCUGAAGUCCCCUUCUACAUUACUCUAGUUGUUUAUUUCAUUUCAGACAGUUAUGCUUUCAUUCAGACUAUUAUUUGUAGUGCUCUAGUCACUCGUAUAUUUGUGACACUAGUUGUGGGAUUAUAUCUAGAUAUCGCUGUUAUUUUA